GACGAACGCUGGCGGCGUGCCUAAUACAUGCAAGUCGAGCGGACUUUCAAGAAGCUUGCUUUUUGAAAGUUAGCGGCGGACGGGUGAGUAACACGUGGGCAACCUGCCUGCAAGACGGGGAUAACUCCGGGAAACCGGGGCUAAUACCGGAUAAUAUCUUCCUUCGCAUGAAGGAAGGUUGAAAGGCGGCGCAAGCUGCCGCUUGCAGAUGGGCCCGCGGCGCAUUAGCUAGUUGGUGAGGUAACGGCUCACCAAGGCGACGAUGCGUAGCCGACCUGAGAGGGUGAUCGGCCACCCUGGGACUGAGACACGGCCCAGACUCCUACGGGAGGCAGCAGUAGGGAAUCUUCCGCAAUGGACGAAAGUCUGACGGAGCAACGCCGCGUGAGCGAAGAAGGUCUUCGGAUCGUAAAGCUCUGUUGUCAGGGAAGAACAAGUACCGUUCGAACAGGGCGGUACCUUGACGGUACCUGACCAGAAAGCCACGGCUAACUACGUG
Molecule: ribosomal RNA, 499 nt
Filed under: uncultured bacterium
Lineage: Bacteria
Description: partial 16S ribosomal RNA
Rfam family: Bacterial small subunit ribosomal RNA
Source: RNAcentral